GAACCUGAAACCGUGUACGUACAAGCAGUAGGAGCACCUUCGUGGUGUGACUGCGUACCUUUUGUAUAAUGGGUCAGCGACUUAUAUUCAGUGGCAAGGUUAACCGUAUAGGGGAGCCGUAGCGAAAGCGAGUCUUAACUGGGCGCUCAGUCUCUGGAUAUAGACCCGAAACCGGGUGAUCUAGCCAUGGGCAGGUUGAAGGUUGAGUAACAUCAACUGGAGGACCGAACCGACUAAUGUUGAAAAAUUAGCGGAUGACUUGUGGCUAGGGGUGAAAGGCCAAUCAAACUCGGAGAUAGCUGGUUCUCCCCGAAAGCUAUUUAGGUAGCGCCUCGGACGAAUACUACUGGGGGUAGAGCACUGUUAAGGCUAGGGGGUCAUCCCGACUUACCAACCCUUUGCAAACUCCGAAUACCAGUAAGUACUAUCCGGGAGACACACGGCGGGUGCUAACGUCCGUCGUGGAGAGGGAAACAACCCAGACCGCCAGCUAAGGUCCCAAAGUAUUGCUAAGUGGGAAACGAUGUGGGAAGGCUCAGACAGCUAGGAUGUUGGCUUAGAAGCAGCCAUCAUUUAAAGAAAGCGUAAUAGCUCACUAGUCGAGUCGGCCUGCGCGGAAGAUGUAACGGGGCUAAGCA
This 638-nucleotide ribosomal RNA is filed under the name Vibrio cholerae. RNAcentral's name for it is "partial 23S ribosomal RNA". It matches the Rfam family "Bacterial large subunit ribosomal RNA", at positions 546 to 1188 of the family's 2925-position model. The record is from RNAcentral. Lineage: Bacteria; Pseudomonadati; Pseudomonadota; Gammaproteobacteria; Vibrionales; Vibrionaceae.